AUACCUUUCUCGGCCUUUUGGCUAAGAUCAAGUGUAGUAUCUGUUCUUAUCAGUUUAAUAUCUGAUAUGUGGAUCAUUGAUUCACACGAUAUUAAAUUAAUAUUUUGAGGGAGAGUGUCCAUUGCAAUAGCUUGCUAUUGGGACUCUUAGGCACUGCUCUUGUCUUGCACUAUUGCAAGAGUUUGGUGCAUCCCAC
Non-coding RNA from Phaseolus vulgaris (common bean), 196 nucleotides. NCBI's taxonomy places the organism in Eukaryota, Viridiplantae, Streptophyta, Magnoliopsida, Fabales, Fabaceae. The record is from Rfam.